AAGUCGUAACAAGGUUUCCGUAGGUGAACCUGCGGAAGGAUCAUUAACACUUCUAUGAUUAUAUAAAUUUAAUCAACUCUGUCGAACUGAUGUUUCUUCCCUCGAAAAGCUAAGGGUCUGAAUGAGGCUUGGAUUUGAUUAAUUGUUUCGUACUUACAUCAUUAAUUUUGACUACUGGGGAAACGAUUAAUUAGCCUUAUUUGACGCUAGUUGAAAAGAAUUUUCUUCACAGGAGAUUCUUUUCCUUUUCAACGCUUAGACUUAGCGAGGGUUUUACAGCCUCAAAUCCUGGCUGGUCCAACUUUUUUUUAAUUAAACUACUAUUACUUAAUUAAUCCUGGUUUUAUACAUAAUAAUUUCUACUCUCUCAUCAGAGUAAAAAUAAUUAACAAUAAAACUCUUAACAGUGGAUAUCUCGGUUCUC
This 424-nucleotide unclassified non-coding RNA is filed under the name fungal sp. RNAcentral describes it as "partial internal transcribed spacer region". The stretch from base 1 to 46 matches the Rfam family "Eukaryotic small subunit ribosomal RNA", at positions 1786 to 1831 of the family's 1831-position model. Lineage: Eukaryota; Fungi. The record is from RNAcentral.